UCCUGGUUAACCCAGGCAGUCUCAUUAGAGUUCCCACCCUAAGUGUUGGCAACUAAUGAUAAGGGUUGCGCUCGUUGCGGGACUUAACCCAACACCUCACGGCACGAGCUGACGACAGCCAUGCAGCACCUGUUCAGAGGCCCCGAAGGGAGAGGUUGUUUCCAACCCUGUCCUCUGUAUGUCAAGCCUGGGUAAGGUUUUUCGCGUUGCAUCGAAUUAAACCACAUACUCCACUGCUUGUGCGGGUCCCCGUCAAUUCUUUUGAGUUUCAGCCUUGCGACUGUACUCCUCAGGCGGCAUACUUAACGCGUUAGCUUCGGCACAUCCGGGGUUGAGUCCGGAUACACCAAGUAUGCAUCGUUUACGGCUAGGACUAC
This 377-nucleotide unclassified non-coding RNA is filed under the name uncultured Chlamydiales bacterium. Its description in RNAcentral is "contains 16S-23S intergenic spacer region". Lineage: Bacteria; Pseudomonadati; Chlamydiota; Chlamydiia; Chlamydiales. The record is from RNAcentral.